CAGGGGCCACGCGAGCAGAGGGGCCGCGCACGGGGCGCGAAUCGGGGAGGACAAGCACAUGCCCCCCGAGACAGUUACAAAAGGAGUAUCCAUUCAUGGUAGAAAUUUGGAAAAAAUACAAAGUGCCCACUUAAAUAAAGAGGAAAACAAAAAUUAUCCAUAAUAAAUUUGCAUCGGUUAACGUAAUAGAGGGCAUCAAACGGAGAUAUGAAGAGAGAAGAUUGUACCAGCGACUCCAGGGCCUCAGCAGAGGCCAAACAGAACGGAGACGAGAGGAGAGUGGAAAUCAGACCCAGUUUUCUGCAGUCUCGUGGCCACUUGGAGGCAAAAACUGAAGUUCAGGGUCCUUGAGGGAGGAGGCGUCCAGGUCCCAGGCCCCCUGUGAAGGCUCUACACCACCCAGAGGUCGAUCCUACAUGGCUUCUGCUGCCUCAAGUGGCUGUGAUGUGUCAUUGCAGUGGUCUGUCAGUUUCUCAGACGAUAGUGUGUCUGAAUCCCCCAGAGUGCCUUGCAAUGCCUGGAGAUCGAUAAGUGCCUGCUGAUUGAGUUCCUGUUAAUGAAUGGCAACGGCUUCAUCAGUGAAUAUUGAUUGAUGGGGACUCCAGCUCACUCUUGACAGCAAGCCAGGGCUUUUGCCAAAGGAGGCAAAGAAUUCCCCACAAGCCUGGUGCAUUCCAAUCCCAACGUGGGCAAACCUGUAAUCAAUUCCAGCUGAGGGUGGGAGGUAGGUGGCGGGGAGUCUCUCUGUUGUCAUAGUAACAUGGCAAAAAAAAAAAAGCUUUAGUAGCAUCACAGACAUCCAGACUCUGAAGUAAUCCCCCUUUUAAAAUUGAAUCAUAUUAAUAAGAUCUACUGACUGAACAA
Long non-coding RNA from Loxodonta africana (African savanna elephant), 864 nucleotides. RefSeq lists it as uncharacterized. The transcript has 4 exons. Lineage: Eukaryota; Metazoa; Chordata; Mammalia; Proboscidea; Elephantidae. The record is from RefSeq and is a predicted model, not a curated record.